RNAcentral lists this long non-coding RNA (10034 nucleotides) under Olea europaea (common olive). Its description in RNAcentral is "long non-coding RNA (OEUR_LNC007108)". The record is from RNAcentral. Lineage: Eukaryota; Viridiplantae; Streptophyta; Magnoliopsida; Lamiales; Oleaceae.
UAAAAACUCCGGGCACAAGCCAGUAGAGAUCCACUAUGGAAGAUAUUGACUUACAGUACGCCAGACAUUAUUGAUUCUAACAAUACUCUGACCUCCUUACUGUAUCGACCACAGCUAUCCUGGAUUUUGCAGAUCUGCGCCAAAAUCCCAGCCUUGAAUAUCUUCUACCUCCCGUGAAUCACCAAGCACUCCAGCUCUUCAAGCAAUUCCCUUCCCGGAUCUUUAAACUGACAAUCUUCUGGAAGUUGAUAUGGAGAUAUGAAAGGGUGUUUUAGUUUUGAGAGGGUUGAUGUUUUUAUUCAAAGAACCAUGAGAAUUAAAAGAUGAAAAGAAUGAAUAUUAGGUUCUUAAUCCUUUGGAAGUUAAGAGGAAUUCCUUUUUGAAUGUUUGCAUACGAAAUCGGACGUUUUGUUUAUAUAGUAGGUUGAAUUUGGUAAUAUGGAGCGUUAAAAAUUCGUGAGGCAUUAAAAUUACCAAAGGCCAGAUAACACCGUCGCUCGAGCGAGGUGCUGGCAAAACUCGAGCGAUAGCUCAGCGAAACUCUAGCGACGUUUGUUCUGCAAUUUAGGCUCGAGCGAGGUCAGGACGAAACUCUGCACUUUACCCUAGACCUAUGCUAUGAAAUUUGCUAAAUUGCAACUUUAGUCCCUGAACUAUUAGACCUUUACAAUUUGGUCCUUGACUUUACAAUUUUGACAAAUAGGUCCUUUGGUCACAAAUUGCCAAUUACACAUUUUCCUAACAAACUCCCCCUUUGGCAUUCUGUGACAAAAAUACAUAUGACAGUCAAGGACAUAAAUAAAAAUGACUCCAAACAACCUAUCUAUUCAACCAAAGCAGCUAUCUCUUGUUGAACCUGUUUCCUGAAAAUCAAAAACUCAAAUACCAAGUGUAAAAGCAUGUUAAAUGGAAACAGUAAAUAAAAACAAGAAAUAGAUCAUACGUCAUUAACCAGAUUAAGAAGCAAUAAUAAUGUAAGUCAAAAACACCAAAAACAUACAUUAAUAUUGCCAAAACAUCAAAAACUUAAUCUAGUCAUGAAUUAUAUACACAUCACCUUUAUAUCACAAUUACCAAAAAAUCGAUAUCUAUCUAUCCAAAUCUAUCCAAAAUAUCUACUCCCCCUUUUUGUCACGAAGGACAAAGGAUAAAAAAAAAUCAACUAACUAACUACGAGGCAGCACCUCCAGCAUCUAAAGACUCAGCACCGCUCUCGCCACUCGUGUUCUCCUCCAUACUAUCACGAAUCCAGCGCAAAUGUCGCUGACACAUGGCAAGAGCACAGCGAAAAGUAGAAAGCUCAGCUAACUGACGCUCCGAAGCAGCACGUAACUGCGUCAUCUCAGCCAUCAUACGAGCUGCUGCUCGACCAGUGUAGACAUCUGUCCCAUAAGCGUCACCAUGGGGUCAAUGGGCAAAGCAGCCACCCCAGGAGCAGAAGUAGAUGUCGAAGGAAAGGUAGAGCUAAGCGGAAUAGCUAAAGGAGGAUCGGAACGAGAAGGAAGAAAGACACGAGAACCCCCAAUAAGAAUAUCAGUAAUAGGAUCAUGGGGCUCCGAAAAAUCAAAGAUAUCAACAGGCUCAGCCUGAGCCGCAGCAUGAGCAAAAGAGGAAGAAGAUGGAACAUGGGAUCGACUCUGAUGAAUGGUCUGCUGUCCUAUCGGACGUCCUAUGCGACUGGUCGAACCCUCUGGAAAAGAAGCACCUAAAGACAAAGCAACCCUAUGAAUCAAGCAAGCAUAAGGCAACCUAAUCCGUCCCCCAGGAGUACGAAAUGAAGCCAGAAUCUGCUGGCACACAAAACUAGGAAGGUCGAUCGAGUCCCCAUGAAGAAGGGCAUAUAGAAAAUGGGCCCUCACCAUAGGUAAAGAAGACGUGUGGCCAACAGGCCACAGGUUUGUGCACACGAUGCGCAACAAAACCUGACGAUCAGUGGGUAAAGAACCCGUGGCCAUCACCGUAGGCCCCCCGACAGACGGGGUGUUCAAAAGCGUUGACCGAACAAGGGCAUCGGCCGAAAUAGAAGCAGGUAGAAUAUAAGGAAAAGUCGAAUGGGUAAUCUGAGGUAUACAUAAAGCAUGAGUUACUGCUGACGGAGUAACCCUAAAAGAAUGACCUCUAAGAAAAACCCUAAAUGACGAGCUGUUUAUGUCAUGAAUAUUAGCAUAAAACUCCUGAACCAGGAGUGGGGGCGGAGGUGAAAGACCAACAAGAAGGGGCUCCCAAUCCUGAAAAACAAAAAUGGCGGCUAUAUCAACAGGAAAGUCAGAUAAGAUUACCUCACGCUCCAUGAGUACGGGGCGUAAGGAGAACUGAGAAGUGAAGACCUCCUGAGCUGUAGCAGAAAUGAAUCGCAAUCGACUAUACGACGUCGAACCACUGGCCGGCUGCGCAGAGGGUCGAGAACGCUUACGAGCCAUCUGGCACACGUAGAGACAAAACUACUGAGUAACAUGAAGAAUGCACGUAAUAUGAUGCAAUGUGAAAUGAAACACUGCACAUACAAAUGAGGCACGAAAGAAAUACAUCAAAAAACGUGAACGACCCUAAGAGCAAACCAAGCAUGACAAAAAGAUAAACCUAAAAUAUGUCCAAAAGCACUCAACAUGGCACGUGAAGAUAAUGAAACAAAGACAUAAUGGAAAGAAGGAAAACAAAAGUCAUAUAACUAAGGACUUUCAUUGAACACGUGGCGUGCGAUACUUUGGCACACAAUUCCAAGCACAUACGAGACGCAAACACACAAGCAAGCAUAGUCCCACAAACUAGAAUCCAUGGUCUUUAGAAUGAAACAAACCACACAAGAAAUAGAGUAACAGAAUGCAAGAACGAAUAACACGAACAUGGACGAAAAACACGAAAAUUCCAUUACUAAACCAUGGAAGAACACACAAUUUAAUGUAAUCUGUGAUGCAAAAUACGAAGAAUAACAAGAAUAACAAACAAGAAACACAUGAAGAUCAUAACAAGGGAAGAAGAAACAAUCAAAAUUUAAAAAAAAACUAAACACAAGAGGGAAAAAAAAAGAAAGAAAAAAAAAGAAAAACAAUUACCUCAAAAACCCUGUGCAAAUGUUGAAAUUCGGAGGCCAAUAUAUGUUAGGGGCUUCGAAAUUGUGUAAUAAACAAGUGUGAUGGAUUAAUUUUGAAUGAAUCGCAGCAAUUGUUGAAAAAAUGAGAGAGAAUGGAGAAGAAUUGCUCAAAAAAUAAAAACUAGGACUCUUAAAAAAGGCACUGUCGCUCGAGCGAGACAUGGGCGAAACUCGAGCGAAAAGCGUUCUGCUUUUGUCGCUCGACUGAAGUUCAAAUGUUAGAAAUAGCACUAAAAUUUUGAAUAUUGAUAAAAAGAACACAAUUAUCAAGAAAUGACGAAAUUAGCCCCAAAUCGUGUAUUUUCAAAAAUAAGACAAGUGCAGAGCAUCGGAAACUAAUAAAAAAAAACGAAGCAUGGGACCAAUUAUGUAAACUAUACCAACAAUAAGCAUAAAGUCAAAACCCCGACACUCAGCACAUAGACAAAUCGUAAGUCCACACAUAGUUCAAAAUUCCGUGGAGUAAAGUGUAUACAAAACAUCACCGUGAAAAGUGUCACGUAGUCCAUGCAAGUGAGACUCAAAACCUUAAAUUAGUGAGAAAGGACACGUGAAAACAACCAAAUAGAGGUGUAUGUCUACCAAGUGACAGUCAAAUCCAAUUCCACGAGGACCUAUAUCAAAUAUUACGAUUGUCACAAUUUUACUCCUCCUCACUGUAUGAUUCCAUAUUUCUUCCCUUUUUUUUCUUUUUUUUAACAAAAGAACUUAAGUGCAAUGCUAUCCCCAUUAGGCGACAUAAAUGACCCCGGUAACGAACUUUGGGCCGGUGACUCCCAAGUCAGAUGACCAUAGGGCACCAGGUUAGAAACCCCUCAGACUUAAUUGUUCGAGUCAAAUAGGCCCCUAAGACAGUCAUAAGUUCAACAAAAUAAAAGUGGGGAAAGACAAUAUGAUUAGGUAACACUAGUCCCAGAUCAAGUCAAAUGGACACAUAACCCCAAUCACAAAAGAACACUAUCCCAAGUCUCACCCAUGCAGUCAAGACUCACUCACAGGACUACAGUGUGUACUGUGCAAAAAUGAAUGACGAGGCAUAUACUCAGAACUCCACAGGCAAAGAGAAUGAUGAUGGAACCUCAAACUUAUACAUAUGAUGAAAAUUAGAGUUUGAUCUUUAAUGCAAAAGCUAUUAUCGUCACAUAAAAGACACAAAAAAAAUCCCAUUUUAUUUUUAUUUUUAUUAUUUUUAUUUUUUAAUUAAUUUUUUUAAUUUUCAUAUUUAAACACACAAAUAUAACACACAAAAGAAGACUAAACGACAAACUAACAAUCAAAAAUACAUCACACACACAGAGAUCAUAUGCAAGAUAUGAAGUGACUAGGUGCAUAUGUGAUGAAUGCAUGAAUAUGCAUGAAUCCACGAUCAGAUAGGUGAACAAACACCAACAGCCGUCCGAAGCGACUCAAACCUCAAUCCAUCUAGUGGUUUCGUAAGUAGAUUAGCCAAUUGAUUAUUAGUAGAGACAUGGUCGAGGGAGACUACAUGUGAUUCAACAAGCUCACGAAUGAAGUGAUGUUGUAUGUCAAUAUGUUUUGUUCGAGAGUGUUGAAUGGGAUUCUUAGAAAUAUUUAUAGCACUUGUAUUAUCACAAAAAACAGUCAUGGUCCCUUGACUAAUCCCAUAAUCACUCAGCAUCUGCUUCAUCCAGAGAAGCUGAGUGCAGCGACUACCUGUAGCUAUGUAUUCGGCCUCUGCUGUGGAUAGAGAUAUAGAAUUCUGUUUCUUACUUAACCAGGCUACGAGAUUGCUCCCCAUGUAAAAACAACCCCCUGUCGUACUUUUCCUAUCAUAUGCAUUCCCGGCCCAGUCGGCUUCGGAGUAACCAGCCAAAUCAAGAUUAGAAUUCCUAGAGUAGAAUAUCCCUAGAUCAACUGUACCACUCACAUAUCUAAUGAUGCGUCUAACAGAGCUUAAGUGUGAUUCUUUUGGAUCUGCCUAAAAUCGAGCACACACUCCAACACUAAAAGCAAUGUCAGGUCUAGUAGCCGUGAGAUAGAGAGGACUACCUAUCAUGCUUCGAUAUAGGGAAGGAUCUACACACUUACCUGAAGGAUCACGACCUAACUUCAAGUUAGUACUCAUAGGUGUCCGAGUAUGCUUCUUACUAUCUAACCCAAUGCGCUUAACUAGAUCCUUAGCAUACUUAGAUUGUGAAAUAAACAGUUCAUCCUCUGUCUGUCUCACCUGAAGUCCAAGGAAAUAACUCAACUCCCCAAUCAUACUCAUCUCAAAUUCUUGCUUCAAACACUCAGCAAACUCAUAUGCUAGAGACUCAAGAGGAGACCCAAAAAUAAUGUCAUCGACAUAAAUCUCAGCAAUGGUGAUAGUUUCUUCAACAUGUCUAAUAAAUAAAGUCCUAUCUGCACCAUCUCAAGAGAAUCCAUGUUCCUCAAGGUAUGAAGUAAGUCUUUCAUACCAAGUUCUAGGAGCUUGUUUCAGACCAUAAAGUGCUUUGUGGAGUUUGUAGACAUAGUGGGGGAACUUAGGAUCAACAAAUCCUUUUGGUUGUUCCACAUAGACUUCUUUUUGAAGAAGUCCAUUCAAGAAAGCAUUCUUAACGUCCAUUUGAUAGAACUUGAACCCUAAGGUACAAGCAACAGCAAGCAGAAUCCAAAUAGACUCUAGUCGUGCAAUAGGGGCAAAAGUUUCAUCAAAAUCAAUUUCUUUAACUUGAGUAUAACCCUGAGCAACUAAUCUAGCCUUAUUCCUAGUUAUAGUACCUUGGUCAUCUGUCUUAUUCUUAAAGAUCCACUUAGUACCAAUAACAUUACAAAUUUCAGGUCUGGGAACUAAGAUCCACACAUUGUUCCUAGCAAAUUAAUUGAGUUCCUCAUGCAUCGCAUUCACCCAACACUCAUCACUAAGAGCCUCUUCAACUUUCUUAGGCUCUAUAUGAGAGACAUAGCUAGUGUAAGCUAGAUUGUUCAGUACUCUCCUACGAAGUCUCAUACCUUCAUCUAGAUCUCCAAUGAUAUUGUCCUUAGGAUGAUUAGACUUAACCCUAGUCGAUGGUUCCUUAGGAUUUUUAUCUCGAUCUCGUGGAAGUGUUUCCUUUUCAGGUGUUUCAGUUUUCCUAAGAGAUGAUUCAGACACAGAUGGUUCAGUGGGAUCACUAGAACUUAUAAGAUCACCAUCACUAUCACAAUUUUCAACACUCUUCCCUUCACUCACAGCAUCAUCUAUCACAACAUUGAUUGACUCCAUCACAACAUGAGUUCAUGAGUUAUAUACUCGGAAUGCUCGACUAUUUCUAGAGUAUCCUAAGAAAACUCUUUCAUCACUCUUAGAUUCAAACUUACCCAAGUUCUCUCUAUCACGCAGAAUAUAGCACUUACUACCAAACACACGAAAGUACUUAACCGUAGGCUUUUUACCCUUAAGAAUUUCAUAUGGAGUCUGAUCGGUCUUGGGUCUAAGGUAGACUCUAUUGAUUAUGUGGCAUGCAGUGUUAAUAGCUUCUCCCCAAAAGUGUAGGGCUAGUCCCCUUCCAUGAAGCAUGGCUCUAGCCAUGUCCUGAAGAACACGAUUCUUCCUUUCAACCACCCCAUUUUGUUGAGGAGUGAUAGGGAAAGAAAACUCAUGCAAUAUCCCUUCAUCCAUGCAAAAACUCUCAAGAUUAGAAUUUUCAAAUUCUUUUCCAUGAUCACUACGCAUUCUAGACACUUUGAGAUUGAGUUCAUUACUAAGCCGCUUAUACAGAGACUUUAUAAGAUCACAUGCAUCAGAUUUUUCCCUAAGCAAUUCUAUCCAUGUGAACCUCGAGAAGUCAUCUACCACAACAAUAAUGUAUCGCUUACCUCCUAGACUCUCAGUCCUAGAUGGUCCCAUUAAAUCCAUGUGUAUCAAUUCCAGGGGUCUUUUGGUCAGAAUUUUAGAAGUCUUUUUAUGACUUCCCAUAAACUGUUUACCUAGUUGACAUGGUCCACACACAACAUUUUCACUCGGACUUAUCUUAGGUAAACCAUCUACCAAUUCCUUCUUAGCUAGCUGUAAUAGACUCUUAUAAUUCAAGUGACCUAACCUUUUGUGCCAGAGCUCACUCACAUCAAUUUUUGCACUCCUACACACAUAAUUAGAAUUAGGCAGAACUCCAUAACAAUUGUCAGACGUUCUAAGCCCUUCAAGGACCACCCCACCAGACGAAUCAUACACGGUACAUCUCUUUUGCACAAAGCUAACCUCAAAAUCAUCAUCACAAAUCUGACUAAUGCUUAACAAAUUAGAUUUUAAGCCUUCCACAUAAAGCACAUUAGAGAUCACAGGUAAUCCAUGCAUUUGUACAGUACCUUUGCCAAGAAUAGGUGUAGAACCCCCAUCUUCAAAGGUAACCAUACCAUCAUUACAUUCAUCAAGAGUAGUGAACAAAGCUUUAUUACCACACAUAUGCCUAGAACAAGCAUUAUCUAGAUACCAAAUAUUGUAAUUUUGGGCUUUUAAUGCAACAUGAGCAACAAAACAGUUUUCUUGACUUGAAUGUCUAGCUAGAUCACCCUUUUUGACCCAAACUUUCUUAGAUGAUAAAGUACUCCUAGUAAGCUUAGUAAGCAUCUCAGUCAAAUGACUAAUGUGAUUAGACAGAAAGCUAACCUGACUAGGAAUGUUAUGAUUUCUACUUUCAUUGGCUAGCUUAUAACAUCUAGGCCUAGUGUGUUCUAGAGCUCCACAGUGGUGACAGGUGGGAAUGAACCUAGGCUCAAAGGUACGUGUCUGUGGGUAUCUGGGAUUGAAGUUUCUACGUGAUUGAUGACUCUGUUCUCUCGGAACAUUCUUACCCUUUUUUUGAACUGCCGACAACAUUAGCUUUCUUAGAGGCAGAAACAAACACAGUCUUAGAUGGUCUAGUAAUAUGUGUGUUACCCUCAAUGUAUCAUAGACCUUUCCUAUCUCCUGCAGGCUUAUUCAUUCCCAAAAUAUUGUCCAAUUUCUUAGUCCCACUUAUGAAAGUCUGAAGAUGAGCAUUAGAUUUCUCCAAUUCACUAGUCAAAGUCUUAAUCUUGCCCUCUAACUUCUCAUUGACACACUUUAACUCACUACCACUCUUAAGUGAAUUCUGAAGAUUACUAGCAAGUUUCUUUUUUUCUCUUUCAAGUUCAUCAAUCUUUUUGAGUAGGGCUUUAUUGACCUUUUUGAUUUUAAAACUCUCUUUAAACAAAAGUUGAUAAGCUUCUUGUAUGUCUAUGUCAUCCUCAUCCUCAUUACUAGAAUUAUCGUUAGGAAGUUCUUCCUCAAACUUGUCACUUUCUUUGUCAGAUUCACUCUUAACAGUCGAUAAAAAUGCCAUAUAGUUUCCUUCGUCCUCACUACUGGAAGAUUCCUGUCUAUCAUUGGUCUCAGAUUCAUUAUCUGUAAGUGAGACAACUAAGGCCUUACCUUUCCCUUUUCUUUGGUUCUUCUUAUAACUAGAGCAUUCAUUCCUAUAGUGACCUAUUCCUUGACACUCAUGGCACCUAACCAAACGAGGCUUAUCACUAGACCCUUUAUUGGUAAACUUUUCAAUUUUUUUUUUGAAAAACUGUUAGGGGCUCCACUUUUUCUAUCCUGAGGCCUUCUCCUAUUCUUGAGAACUUUUUGGAAUCUCUUAACAAAGUAAGCAAUUUCAUCGUCCCUAAGUGACUCAGUAUCAUAAGAUUCAUCCUCUUUGAUGGAUUUUAAGGCUAUGGACUUUCCUUUCUUAGGUUGUGUGACAGUGAGUUCAUAAGUUUGCAGGGAUCCUACCGGUUUUCAAUUUUAAUUUCAUCUAGGUCCUUACUUUCCUCAAUGGCAGUGACUUUAGGCCUAAAUCUCUCGGGCAGGGACCUAAGCACUUUUCUCACGAUUUUAGACUCGGGAAUUCUCUCACCUAGAUUGAAGCUAGAAUUAACAAUGUCAUUCAAUUUAGCAUAGAAUUCGUCAAACGUUUCAUCAUCCUUCAUUCUCACUUCUUCAAACCUAGAUGCUAGCAUUUGUAACUUAGAAUUCUUUACCGUUUUAGUUCCCUCAUGUGUAGUUUCAAGAAUGUCCCAAACCUCUUUAACAGUUUCACACAUUGACACUCUCCUAAACUCUUCGGGAGACACGGCCAUAAACAGGGCAUGAAGACCCUUGCUAUUCCAAUUACACUCAGCAAUUUCAUCCUUAGUCCACAGUGAUAUGUCAGUUAGAUUAAUAGUUCCAGAAACGGUAGUGGAGGGAGGUUUCCAGCCAUUUUACACACUUACCCAAACAUGCUCAUCUAAAGACUUAAGAAAAGUACGCAUUCUAACAUUCCAAUAAGCAUAAUUACUUCCAUCGAAAAAUGGAGGUAGAGACAGUGAUUGACUCAUCUAGACAACUAUGGGUCAAGACUCGAGAUUUGGCUCUGAUACCACUUGAAAAAGCUAUAGUUCGACCCAACCAACACCUAGAGGGGGGGUGAAUAGGUGUUUAUGCGGAAUUAAGGCAAUUAAUUAACUAAUGCAACAAGUCACAUAAAUUAUGCAUUGUCCAGAUUCAUUUACAUACUUUAUCUACCUAAGUUGAAUUACCGGUUGAAAAGUAUAUAACAAAAACCAGUAAAAAUGCCACAAAAUGUUGACGGAGAAAACCCAACUGGGUAAAAACUUCGGGCACAAGCCAGUAGAGAUCCACUAUAGAAGAUAUUGACUUACAGUACGCCAGACAUUAUUGAUUCUAACAAUACUCUGACCUCCUUACUGUAUCGACCACAGCUAUCCUGGAUUUUGUAGAUCUGCGCCAAAAUCCCAGCCUUGAAUAUCUUCUACCUCUCGUGAAUCACCAAGCACUCCAGCUUUUCAAGCAAUUCCCUUCCCGAAUCUUCAAACUGACGAUCUUCUGGAAGUUGAUAUGGAGAUAUGAAAGGGUGUUUUGGUUUUGAGAGGGUUGAUGUUUUUAUUCAAAGAACCAUGAGAAUUAAAAGAUGAAAAGAAUGAAUAUUAGGUUCUUAAUCCUUUGGAAGUUGAG